AGCGAACGCUGGCGGCAGGCCUAACACAUGCAAGUCGAGCGGGCACCGCAAGGUGUCAGCGGCAGACGGGAGAGUAACACGUGGGAACGUGCCCUUUGGUUCGGAACAACUCCGGGAAACUGGAGCUAAUACCGGAUAAGCCCUUACGGGGAAAGAUUAUCGCCAAAGGAGCGGCCCGCGUCGGAUUAGCUAGUUGGUGAGGUAAUGGCUCACCAAGGCGACGAUCCGUAGCUGGUCUAAGAGGAUGAUCAGCCUCACUGGGACCGAGACACGGCCCAGACUCCUACGGGAGGCAGCAGUGGGGAAGUAUUGGACAAUGGGCGCAAGCCUGAUCCAGCCAUGCCGCGUGAGUGAUGAAGGCCCUAGGGUUGUAAAGCUCUUUUGUGCGGGAAGAUAAUGACGGUACCGCAAGAAUAAGCCCCGGCUAACUUCGUGCCAGCCGCCGCCGUAAU
Molecule: ribosomal RNA, 452 nt
Filed under: uncultured bacterium
Lineage: Bacteria
Description: bacterial SSU rRNA
Rfam family: Bacterial small subunit ribosomal RNA
Source: RNAcentral